UACGUAGGGGGCAAGCGUUAUCCGGAAUCAUUGGGCGUAAAGAGUGCGUAGGUGGUUUCUUAAGCGUGGGGUUUAAGGCUACGGCUUAACCGUAGUUCGCCCCAUGAACUGGGAGACUUGAGUGCAGGAGGGGAAAGUGGAAUUCCUAGUGUAGCGGUGAAAUGCGUAGAUAUUAGGAGGAACACCAGUGGCGAAGGCGACUUUCUGGACUGUAACUGACACUGAGGCACGAAAGCGUGGGGAGCAAACAGGAUUAGAUACCCUGGUAGUCCCUGAGCGGGCU
This 283-nucleotide ribosomal RNA is filed under the name uncultured prokaryote. Its description in RNAcentral is "partial 16S ribosomal RNA". It matches the Rfam family "Bacterial small subunit ribosomal RNA", at positions 524 to 817 of the family's 1533-position model. The record is from RNAcentral.